UGCUGUGUUCGCUCGCUCUGCACCUUGCUCCUGCCCACUCUGCUUGUCAGCUUUCCUCUGUCCUGAAAGAUCCUUAGUGCCUGGAUUUCAUCAUCCAGCCCUGCAGGAUGCUCCCCUUUGUUCUGGGGAAGGUCUUGUGCCAUUCCAUGGAGGUGGACAACACCCACCUGCCCGGGUGGGCUGGAGCUCUGUGGGGAUGGAGUGGGACAGAGACUCCACUCUGAGCUUUUGCUACCUCUGCAGGCUGUCCCAGACAGAGAGGAGGAGAUGGAGCUUGAUACAGAGAUUGAUAUGGAGGAGGAGAUGGAAAUAGACGGAGAAGACCCUGGAGAGGAAGAGAUGGAGGUGGAGGUGAAGGUGGAAGAGGAGAUGGAUGUGGAUAUGGAAGAGUCCAUUGAGGACAUGGAUAUUGAUUAAAAAUGUGCGAUGGACAUCACAGACAGAGACACCAACCUUUGUAUAUAUGUUCUACAGUUUGUUGUUGUUCUUUAGCAUGUAGAUUGUAGGGCUAUUUUUGACUUCUGUAAAUACAUAGUUUUGUUAGGUAGGUUUUGCUAGGUAGGUUUUUAUGUAUAUAUGUUCUAUCUAUUGUUGUUGUUACAAAUAUUCUUACAAUGUAAAUGUAUUCUGCAUUUUUGCUGCUGUUCUUCCCUAAUAAACAAAUUUUAUUUUUCA
Molecule: long non-coding RNA, 675 nt
Organism: Passer domesticus (house sparrow)
Lineage: Eukaryota; Metazoa; Chordata; Aves; Passeriformes; Passeridae
Exons: 2
Source: RefSeq, a predicted model, not a curated record